Molecule: ribosomal RNA, 491 nt
Filed under: uncultured bacterium
Lineage: Bacteria
Description: partial 16S ribosomal RNA
Rfam family: Bacterial small subunit ribosomal RNA
Source: RNAcentral
AGUGAACGCUGGCGGUAGGCCUAACACAUGCAAGUCGAACGGCAGCACAGUAAGAGCUUGCUCUUACGGGUGGCGAGUGGCGGACGGGUGAGGAAUACAUCGGAAUCUACUUUUUCGUGGGGGAUAACGUAGGGAAACUUACGCUAAUACCGCAUACGACCUACGGGUGAAAGCAGGGGAUCUUCGGACCUUGCGCGAUUGAAUGAGCCGAUGUCGGAUUAGCUAGUUGGCGGGGUAAAGGCCCACCAAGGCGACGAUCCGUAGCUGGUCUGAGAGGAUGGUCAGCCACACUGGAACUGAGACACGGUCCAGACUCCUACGGGAGGCAGCAGUGGGGAAUAUUGGACAAUGGGCGCAAGCCUGAUCCAGCCAUACCGCGUGGGUGAAGAAGGCCUUCGGGUUGUAAAGCCCUUUUGUUGGGAAAGAAAGGCAGCAGGUUAAUACCCCGCUGUUCUGACGGUACCCAAAGAAUAAGCACCGGCUAACUUCGU